GACGAACGCUGGCGGCGUGCUUAACACAUGCAAGUCGAACGGAAAGGCUCCAGCUUGCUGGAGUACUAGAGUGGCGAACGGGUGUGUAACACGUGGGUAAUCUGCCCUGCACUCUGGGAUAAGCCUGGGAAACUGGGUCUAAUACUGGAUAUGACCUUUCUCCUUAUGGGGUUUGGUGGAAAGUUUGUCGGUAUAGGAUGAGCCCGCGGCCUAUCAGCUUGUUGGUGGGGUGAUGGCCUACCAAGGCGACGACGGGUAGCCGGCCUGAGAGGGUGAUCGGCCACAUUGGGACUGAGAUACGGCCCAGACUCCUACGGGAGGCAGCAGUGGGGAAUAUUGCACAGUGGGCGGAAGCCUGAUGCAGCGACGCCGCGUGAGGGAUGACGGCCUUCGGGUUGUAAACCUCUUUCAGCAGGGACGAAGCGUAAGUGACGGUACCUGCAGAAGAAGCACCGGCUAACUAUGUG
Molecule: ribosomal RNA, 467 nt
Filed under: uncultured bacterium
Lineage: Bacteria
Description: partial 16S ribosomal RNA
Rfam family: Bacterial small subunit ribosomal RNA
Source: RNAcentral